This 376-nucleotide ribosomal RNA is filed under the name uncultured bacterium. Its description in RNAcentral is "bacterial SSU rRNA". It matches the Rfam family "Bacterial small subunit ribosomal RNA", at positions 524 to 898 of the family's 1533-position model. The record is from RNAcentral.
CACGUAGGAGACGAGCGUUAUCCGGAUUCACUGGGCGUAAAGGGCAAGUAGGCGGUUGCUCAAGUUGGGCGUGACAAUCUCUGGCUUAACUAGGGAAGGACGUUCAAAACUAGGCAACUUGAGGGCAGGAGAGGAAAGCGGAAUUCCUAGUGUAGCGGUGGAAUGCUCAGAUACUAGGAGGAACACCGGUGGCGAAGGCGGCUUUCUGGUCUGCACCUGACGCUGAGAGGCGAAAGCUAGGGUAGCGAACGGGCUUAGAUACCCCGGUAGUCCUAGCUGUAAACGGUGGAUACUGGGUAUUGGGGGCUAACAUGCCUUCAGUGCCGAAGCCAACGCGUUAAGUAUCCCGCCUGGGGACUACGGCCGCAAGGUUAAA